RNAcentral lists this long non-coding RNA (773 nucleotides) under Macaca nemestrina (pig-tailed macaque). RNAcentral describes it as "lncRNA (ENSMNEG00000046205.1)". Lineage: Eukaryota; Metazoa; Chordata; Mammalia; Primates; Cercopithecidae. The record is from RNAcentral.
AUGAUUGAUCUUUUGAAACUAAAUCUGUCAAAUUCUUUUUCUAGGAAAGCAAUUUUAAAAUGCGCUUUUGAAAAUGUUUGUUCUGAUGAUGCCUUAUCAAAGGAAAACAUGGUUGUAUCUGAGACGGAAGUUUUACUAAAAGAGUUGGAGCAAAUGCUACAGCAAGCACUGCAACCCACAGUCACACCUGAUGAGUCUGAAGAAGGAUAUGGAGAGGAAAUAAAUACGGGAGAAAAGUUAUCUAAAUGCAGCCCAGAAGCUCCUGCAGGCAAUCUGUUUGAAAACCACUGUGAAGAGGACUAUCUUGUAAUUGAUGGGAUCAAAGUAAAAGCUGGAGAAUGUAUUGAGGAUAUAACUAAUAAAUUUAAAGAAAUAGAUGCUUUGAUGUCUGAGUUUUAGAAUACUAUACAUUUUUAAGUUAAUUAUAAAAAUAUUGGCAUCUUUAUAUUUAUCCGAAGUUAAAACCUUAAAAAUGUUUGGUGAAAUAGGUAUAAAUUAUACCAAAGUGUAUAUUUGCAAUAACUUUCUACUUCAUAUUUUGAGAAUGGCCAUGAUUUUUAGAGCCAGUCAAAUGGUAUUUAAGUUAGUGUUAAAAAUUUAGAAUUAAAAAACCCUGAUAGUUGUAUUUAUAUAUUUCUUGUUUGCCUUAAUUUUUAAAUGAUUUGUGAAAUUGCCUCACAAACAUAUGCUUUACAAUGAUUGUUUAGGCCGUUUAUUCAAAAAUGGAUAACUUAAAAUGGCUGGCCAAGCUAUUAUAAAUCUCAGAGGCAAUU